GUCUUUGUAGUUUAUAAAAACAUUAGUUUUGUAAACUAAAAUUGUUCAUCUAAAGACU
This 58-nucleotide transfer RNA is filed under the name Bactrurus brachycaudus. RNAcentral describes it as "tRNA-Thr". Lineage: Eukaryota; Metazoa; Arthropoda; Malacostraca; Amphipoda; Crangonyctidae. The record is from RNAcentral.